This 460-nucleotide ribosomal RNA is filed under the name uncultured bacterium. RNAcentral describes it as "partial 16S ribosomal RNA". It matches the Rfam family "Bacterial small subunit ribosomal RNA", at positions 338 to 795 of the family's 1533-position model. The record is from RNAcentral.
CCUACGGGAGGCAGCAGUGAGGAAUAUUGGUCAAUGGACGAGAGUCUGAACCAGCCAAGUAGCGUGAAGGAUGACUGCCCUAUGGGUUGUAAACUUCUUUUAUAUGGGAAUAAAAUGUUCCACGUGUGGGAUGUUGUAUGUACCAUAUGAAAAAGCAUCGGCUAACUCCGUGCCAGCAGCCGCGGUAAUACGGAGGAUACGAGCGUUAUCCGGAUUUACUGGGUUUAAAGGGAGCGUAGGUGGAUUGUUAAGUCAGUUGUGAAAGUUGGCGGCUCAACCGUAAGAUUGCAGUUGAAACUGGCAGUCUUGAGUACAGGAGAGGUGAGCGGAAUUCGUGGUGUAGCGGUGAAAUGCUUAGAUAUCACGAAGAACUCCGAUUGCGAAGGCAGCUCACUGGACUGCAACUGACACUGAGGCUCGAAAGUGUGGGUAUCAAACAGGAUUAGAUACCCUUGUAGUC